AUUGAACGCUGGCGGCAGGCCUAACACAUGCAAGUCGAGCGGAUGAAGGGAGCUUGCUCCUGGAUUCAGCGGCGGACGGGUGAGUAAUGCCUAGGAAUCUGCCUGGUAGUGGGGGAUAACGUCCGGAAACGGGCGCUAAUACCGCAUACGUCCUGAGGGAGAAAGUGGGGGAUCUUCGGACCUCACGCUAUCAGAUGAGCCUAGGUCGGAUUAGCUAGUUGGUGGGGUAAGGCCUACCAAGGCGGCGAUCCGUAACUGGUCUGAGAGGAUGAUCAGUCACACUGGAACUGAGACACGGUCCAGACUCCUACGGGAGGCAGCAGUGGGGAAUAUUGGACAAUGGGCGAAAGCCUGAUCCAGCCAUGCCGCGUGUGUGAAGAAGGUCUUCGGAUUGUAAAGCACUUUAAGUUGGGAGGAAGGGCAGUAAGUUAAUACCUUGCUGUUUUGACGUUACCAACAGAAUAAGCACCGGCUAACUUCGUG
This 483-nucleotide ribosomal RNA is filed under the name uncultured bacterium. Its description in RNAcentral is "partial 16S ribosomal RNA". It matches the Rfam family "Bacterial small subunit ribosomal RNA", at positions 30 to 507 of the family's 1533-position model. The record is from RNAcentral.